AAGCAACGCACAUAGCGUCUGAUCAGAAUCCUAUCUAUAUAAAAAAAACUGAUAGUAUUAAGAAAUUUCAUCCGCAUAUAAUUUAGAAACCAACAUUCUUCUUUGCCGACACCUUCUCGUAGACAAAUCAGCUUACCAAAUUUUCAUCCAACACUUUUGUGAAUUAUUGGUUCUGUUUAUAGAAUCUUCUUUGCUAACGGAUCGACUACUGCUUUUACCAUAUCUCUUUAAUAGCCAAAACAGUAACAACUAUUAAAAUUCUACAUCAACAUCAAUAAAAUAGUAAAAUAUAUUAACCAAUAUAUAUAUUAUGUAUAUAUAUGUUUAGAUUUAGUAAUACUCAUAUGAAUCUAACAAAUACUAGCA
RNAcentral lists this long non-coding RNA (366 nucleotides) under Oryza brachyantha (malo sina). RNAcentral describes it as "long non-coding RNA (OBRA_LNC001803)". The record is from RNAcentral. Lineage: Eukaryota; Viridiplantae; Streptophyta; Magnoliopsida; Poales; Poaceae.